CUGGGGUCUGCUGCCUGGUCCCUACAGUCUUGGGGAGCCCCAGAAAAAUAUCUAUCGUCUCUUAAACACAGCAUUUGGUCUGGUGCACCUUGCUGGGUACAGCUCUUUCGUCUGUCCCUUGUCCCUUGGAGGGAACCUGGGCCUGCGACCCAAGCCACCUGUCAACUUCCCUUACCUUCAUUAUGAUGCCACUCUGCCCUUCCACUGUAGCGCUAUCCUGGCUACAGCCCUGGACACGGUUACCGUUCCCUAUCGCCUCCGCUCCUCCACAGUCAGCAUGGCUCACUUGGCUGAUGUGCUAAGUUUCUCUGGGAAGAAGGUAAGCAGCUCUGUGAGG
RNAcentral lists this long non-coding RNA (337 nucleotides) under Rattus norvegicus (Norway rat). RNAcentral describes it as "long non-coding RNA NONRATT016579". Lineage: Eukaryota; Metazoa; Chordata; Mammalia; Rodentia; Muridae. The record is from RNAcentral.